RNAcentral lists this non-coding RNA (24 nucleotides) under Arabidopsis thaliana (thale cress). The record is from RNAcentral. Lineage: Eukaryota; Viridiplantae; Streptophyta; Magnoliopsida; Brassicales; Brassicaceae.
AAAUGACACAUAAAACGCGUCGUA